AAGAAAAAAAAAUGGAGGAAAUAUAUAUUAAAAAAAAAAAAUCGUGUGUCCUCAAAAUCUAUAAAAUGCUACGGCACUUAAUUUAGGAAUGGGAAUUGAUUAACUUUGCAAGAGCUAGGAAUAUCAUUAGAGACAUCGACAUUUAGCAAAGAGAAGGAAAAAGCCGGAGAAAACAGUAAAUUAUCAGUCCAAGAGAGUAAGAUCAAGAGUGUUAAUCCGAAGGUGAAAUAAGGAAUCCGAAGGAGAAACCCUAAACUCACUAUCUUGACUGACUCAGGUAUUUGAUGGGCAUUAGGAACCGUAAGUGUGAUUGAAACGUGGACACAUCUUACUUAUGAAGACAGAUGUAAACUCUCCAAGCAAGAGCUAUUGGAUUGCUGUGAAAAGAAUCCAAGGGGUUAUAAGAACAAAUGUGGAUGAAAAGUGGUUUUACACGAACCCAACUUCGGUAUCGUUUAAGUGGGUUGAAAUGAAUAAAGUUCAACUAGAAAGAGAGUAUAGACAGAAGGCAGGUGACAGUGAACGAAGAAAAAGAUAAUAAGUUGAAGAAAGGAAUGAGGUCAGAGUAGAUCCCCACAUGGUUGUUCUUGCAAAUGAACCGAAGUUACUGGAAACUCUUGUUAAUGGCCCAGUUGUUGGGGGUAUCGAAUCUCUUAAGGUAUGACACUAACGAGAACGGUGUAAAUUUCUACUGGUGCCAAAGCACUUGGGGAGAAAAUUGGGGGUUAAAGGAUAUGGAACAGGUUAAAGGAUAUGGAAGAAUUAGGCGAGCGUCUAGUUAUAGUUGGGAGACUACACCAGUUUCUAAUAUUAUGAAAUGGACACAAAUCCCAGCCAAGGUUCAUAGAAUUUCCAAAGGAGAUACCUAUGAUAUUGACAAAGGAUUCGAUACCAUUUAUUAUCCAUAAACAGAAUUCGGAUCUCAUACGUUAUUACCUGAUCAAAGCAUUUGAAGACUACAACUAUAAAGAAGGGUUGCAUUUGACUCUACAAUUUGUUGACGCUGUUUAUCGUCAAAAAAGCAAUUGUGGACGAAAUAUGGUUCGUGUUCUAUGUCGUCGACUCAAAUGGUAGGAAAAGGAAGUAUAAAGUGCAGGUCCUCUCGACUACAAUAGAUGCAAUCGACAUGUUUAGAGCAUUCAAAGUGUAAACAUAUACUAAGAACAAGCAAGAGUUACUAGAUUGUUGCGAAAAGAAUCCAAGGGUUAUAAGAACAAAUGUGGAUGAAAAGUGGUUUUAUA
Non-coding RNA from Salvia hispanica, 1241 nucleotides. The record is from RefSeq and is a predicted model, not a curated record. NCBI's taxonomy places the organism in Eukaryota, Viridiplantae, Streptophyta, Magnoliopsida, Lamiales, Lamiaceae.